UUCUACUACAUGCCAAACUUCUGAGCUGAUCUCCUUGAGCAUUCCAGCCAACCCUGUGGUUCUGGUAUCUAUCAUCAAAACACAACAAUCUGCAUUCUUGAAGCGUUGAAAGAGAACAACCUUUUUCUGUGUUGUACAGAACCAUCUCUCAAUAACAGACGGGUUGGAAAGGAAAUCCCAAGGCAGGUUCUGGGAGUUAAUGCUAUUCACCCUUACCGCAAGUACCAGAAAACUGCAUCCCAACGUUGUACUCUUCCCCAGGAGGCUGGUUUCAUAUGGUGGUUUAGAUGUAACUGUGCAGUGUCUAGCACCAUUUGAAAUCAGUGUUCUUGGAGAAAGAAUGACAGCAUUAAGAAUAGAAUGGACAAUUAUCUCACGGUAGUUGCAUCAUAGGGAAAUUAAUUACAAUUGAUAUAGGUAACAUAAAUAAUAUAAGAGUUUGUACAGACAUGGUUUUAAAUCAUUUAUACUGGGGCAAGCUAUAGAAAAAUGGCAUUAAAAUGUGUACAUUUCUAGAUUUUUUUCAUGGUAUGUAUUAGAUGCCUGAAACACCAAGCACAGGUUGAGGCAUGUUCUAGAUUUCCGGUGCACAUGACUUGGUAUUAAAAACCAAAGUGUGCAGCAAUUUCCUGUCAGCAAGAAAAACAAUUACAAUUUGGAAAAUCAAUGAUAUUUGCAGCCAAAUUAACAAUUUCGAUGUUCCUAAAUAAAGAUUUCUGAAUUUCUACCUGUAAUUGUUAUUGUUUUAUGAACUGUUGCUACUUCUCCAUUUCUUCCAUUAAACCCCUUUGGAGGAUGACUGGUUUCUUUUGGUGUUCAGAGUCCACAGUAUUUUCUAGCACCAUUUGAAAUCGGUUAUAAUGACUGGGGAUACAUUCAUCUGCUUCAAAUCAAAGUAGCAAUGAAGAGACGGAACAUUUCAGUGUACAGACUUUCUUGUCAAGAUCAGGAUGUUUUGUUUCCUGAAGGGAUAUGAUACAGAACAACAAAUGAUGUGCAGUAAACAAAAGGACUGUGAAAAGGUUCAAAUCGCUUGUAUUUAUCUGUACAGCAUUCCACAAGGGUGUAAAAUGAUCAGUAACACUUAAAAUAGAGUGUAAUAAAAGCUAGUCCCACAAAAAUACUCAAGGCUUUAGAACUGGCUCUGCUGUUUACAAAAGCUGUGGAUGACCCAUGUAUAGAUUAUAGCUGGACUUUUUCAGUGACCUUAAAGGUGUAACCAAAUCCGGUGGUAUUUCCAAGACAAAUGUGCAAUGGAAAAGUGGCUCACAGCCAAUUCAUGACAUCACUUAGCUCCCAUUCUGCAUAGAUUACAGUAUAUACCAUUACUUUCCUUUUGCUGGAUUUACAAAUAAAUGAAAACAAAUACUGUGAGUGCCUCCAUAGACCACUUCACCUGUGUGCAGCUGCCCUGAAAAAGGAAGAAUCCUGGAUGUAACUUCCAUCUGCCUCGCACCUGGAUGUAUUUACAAAGAAGACUGGUUACAUACAGUAAUUAGGAAAGCAUAACAUGUUAAACAAAACUAGAAAUAUCCAAAGACCUAAUAAGCAGGGCCCCAGAUUCCUGAAUCCACAUUUUUCUUUAAAUGUACAUGUUUUUACAUACGUUGAUGCAUCUGUUUGUUAAAUCAUGAAAUGUGUAGGGAGAAGACAUGAAGAACACAGAUCCAAUUACUAAGUGCUGCUUUAGUGAAAUAUAAAGCGACCUCAGAUUUAAAAUCAGAGAGAGCUUAAUGGGUGUAUAAACAACUUUGCAGUAAUGCAUUUCUGCAAGAUUCUUUUUUUAUCAAUAUCAGGAGGUUUUGUUUACAAAAUGAGCUCGCUUCCGACUUAUAAUUUGAGAGUUUCGUUUUGUUAAACCCUGUUCUGUUUUAAACAUGAAAUGUUUACAUGUUUUGUUCUCCAUUGCACUCUUCUUGCACCACAGAGUGCUAAGAUAUUUCUUACAUAUUUAAAGUGUUUGUAGCUAACAAAAUAAUUCAAUACAUUUUUCGCGGCAUGCGUAAUCAUUCAUGAUAUAGGUCUCAAAUGUUAGUUUGAAACACAUGAUGCCUGGAACUACACGAGGUGAAAUAAAUUGCAGUCUUGCACUUUCAUCUUCAUUUCACCUGGAGAGUGACAUUAUCCCCGUCCCUUCAGGGCAGCCUAUGCUGUCAGUAACCAACCAGCUACUUCCCAUCACAAUAGAAAUGCUUUGCAACCAGUAAGCUGCUUUGACCCCGAAGACACUGCUGAGAUGAAAUGACCCAGAAAGUGUAGCAGAUUUCCUGGAAGGGAAGGCAGGCAAACUGAGAACUUUCUUUUACCUGGUGUAGUACCCAACGUCAUGUUUACAAUGAAAAUACAUACUUGCAAUAUCAUGCUUCUUUCAAAUCUGCGUAUUUGAUUCCUACAUAGUCAAUGGAAUUGCAUGACAAGUAAGAUUUAUGAAAGUAUGUCAGUUAGCUACAAUCUACAAUUUCUACAAGCUACAAUUUCUAAAACGUACUACUGUUGCAGUGGAAGCAGGAGCACGCCUGACUCAGCUUUCAAGAAAUGGAGGAAACAUGUAACAUUACCUUUGUGGAAUAUAAACAACCUGUAAUAUCAACAGACACCAAGGCUUGCUUGAAGUUUUCUUCUUCAAUUGUUAAAUAUUGCAUACACCCUGCUUUAGUUUUUGCAGGUAAAAAAAUAAAAGAUGAUCUCAAUUUGUGUUACAAAUACAAAUCUUAUCACAAAUAUAUACUGUACAAAAAUAACUUCCCACCAGUGUCUUGUUGAUUUGCCUGACUGCUGCAAGAAAAACUAUCUUUUAGAAAUAGAUUUUUCCGGACCUUCUCAUAGUGGCUGCUUAUAGAGCUUAAUUAUUAAAGUUGUGCCUCUCCCUGUUUCUUAUCCUUGUUUCUUUUUUCAUGUAUUCAGUUGAUGUGUUCUGUAUUUCUCAAAAAAAAAAUGUUUGCAAAUCCAAUAUAACAUGUAUGGAACUAUA
Acipenser ruthenus (sterlet) is the source of this 2971-nucleotide long non-coding RNA. RefSeq lists it as uncharacterized. NCBI's taxonomy places the organism in Eukaryota, Metazoa, Chordata, Actinopteri, Acipenseriformes, Acipenseridae. The record is from RefSeq and is a predicted model, not a curated record. The transcript is spliced from 2 exons.